UCCCCCUUUCAGAACACUCAAUGUCGGAACGUUCCGAAGAUGACGUCGGAGCGUUCUCGAAUCCCGUGUCUCUCGGCUGCUGCUGCCGAAGGAACAGGGAAAAAGCAACAAGAAGGAAGAGCAAUGGCGACACUGGAUCGCAAAGUGCCCAGUCCGGAGGCGUUUCUGGGCAAACCCUGGUCCUCCUGGAUCGACGCCGCCAAAUUACACUGCUCCGACAAUGUAGAUUUAGAAGAGGCUGGAAAAGAGGGUGGAAAAAGCAGGGAGGUUAUGAGGCUUAAUAAAGAAGAUAUGCACUUAUUUGGCCAUUAUCCAGCACAUGACGACUUCUAUCUCGUAGUGUGCAGUGCCUGUAAUCAGGUCGUCAAGCCACAGGUUUUCCAGUCGCACUGCGAGAGAAGACACGGUUCAAUGUGUAGACCUUCUUCCUCUCCAGCGUCUCCAGCCUCCAACCCCAGGACAUCACUAGCACAGGUGAAAACGAAAGCCUGUCUCAGCGGCCAUAACUCUGCCAGCAGCACCUCAAAGCCAUUCAAAACGCCCAAAGACAAUCUACUUACCUCCAGCAGCAGACAGCACACAGUCUUUUCUGCAAAAGGAUCAAGGGAUAAACCAUGCGUUCCGGUUCCUGUAGUCAGUUUAGAGAAAAUUCCUAACCUAGUGAAGGCAGAUGGUGCCAAUGUCAAAAUGAACUCUACAACCACUACUGCAGUCACCUCCUCCUCCACCUCCUCCUCUGCCGUCUCCACCCCUCCUUUAAUUAAGCCCAUCUUGAUGUCCAAGUCAGUGCCACCUUCACCAGAGAAAAUCCUAAAUGGCAAAGGAAUUCUGUCAGCCACAAUAGACAAGAAACACCAAAAUGGCACCAAAAACAGCAACAAGCCUUACCGGAGACUUUCAGAGAGAGAAUUUGACCCAAAUAAACACUGUGGAGUAUUGGAUCCCGAGACAAAGAAACCUUGCACAAGAUCCCUCACCUGCAAGACACACUCGCUAAGCCAUCGGAGGGCAGUCCCGGGCCGGAGAAAGCAAUUUGACCUCCUCCUGGCGGAACACAAAGCCAAGUCCCGGGAGAAAGAAGUUAAAGAGCACCUCCUGACUUCCACAAGGGAAAUACUUCCAAAUCCACCCGGGCCAGGGCAGGAGUCUCUGCUGGGAUCUUCAGGGAGCUCGGGGCCAGAACCAAAAGUUGCAUCCCCUGCAAAAUCCAGGCCACCUAACUCUGUACUUCCCAGACCAUCAUCUGCAAAUAGCAUAAGUAGCAGUGCGUCUUCAAAUCACAGCGGCUACGCGCCAGAGCCCCCUCUGCCCCCAGUUGGAGGUGACCUCACCAGCCGACUGUCCAGUGAUGAAGGGGAGAUGGACGGAGGCGACGAAUCUGAGAGGUUGGACUGUCAGUUCUCCGUGCACCAUCCCAGACCUCUUGCGUUUUGCUCAUUCGGGAGUCGCCUCAUGGGACGAGGGUACUAUGUGUUUGAUAGAAGAUGGGAUCGUUUUCGAUUCGCACUAAACUCCAUGGUAGAGAAACACUUGAAUUCACAGAUGUGGAAGCACAGAAGCCCGAGCCACAGGGCAUCAGGUCCCUCCCCCCUGUUCAGGACUUGCCUAACCAAUCUGCUGUCACUGAGCAACAUUGGGGCUGCCUGGGUGUCAACUCUGGAGAGCGUAGCACCACGCUGCCCUCUCAACCUCGCUGCCCAAACCCCAGGCCCCGACGGGCCCGAACCUGGAGGGAUGGCAGCCGAUGGGGGCAUGGAAGACAUUAGGAAGAAAAGGAACGGCCAAGACACUUUUUUCUUUAACAAGCAUUUAACUCUGCAUCAGGAGACGCCAACACAGUAUUCUCUUUCAGCCAGGAAGAUCCCUCCUGCGGCAGAUAGCCCCAUGCCCUCGCCAGCAGCCCACAUCACCACCCCUGUUCCAGCAUCCGUUUUGCAGCCUUUCAGCAACCCCGGUGCUGUGUAUCUUCCUUCAGCUCCCAUCAGCUCGAGACUCACCUCUUCUUACAUAAUGACAUCAGCCAUGCUCUCAGACGCAGCUUUUGUGGCAUCGCCGGACCCGCGCGUCCUCAUGUCCCACACCACAGCUUUCCCCCAUGUGGCCGCCACCCUCAGCAUCAUGGACUCAACCUUCAAGGCCCCAUCUGCCGUGUCCCCGAUACCAGCCGUCAUCCCUUCCCCAUCCCACAAGCCAUCCAAAACCAAAACCAGCAAAUCCUCAAAAGUCAAAGACCUGUCCACCCGUAGCGACGAGUCUCCAAGUAACAAAAAGAGGAAGCCCCAGUCUUCGACUUCCUCCUCCUCCUCUUCCUCUUCCUCCUCCUCCUCCUCCUCUUCCUCCUUGUCCCUGCCGCCUUCCCUCUCGUCUCCAUUGUCAGGGCCCCACAAAAAGAACUGUGUCCUGAAUGCCAGUUCCGCUUUGAACUCCUAUCAGGCGGCCCCUCCCUAUACCAGUCUGUCUGUGCACAACUCAAACAAUGGGGUGAGCCCACUCAGUGCCAAGCUGGAGCCCUCAGGACGGACCUCGCUGCCCGGCGGCCCCGCGGACAUAGUGAGACAGGUGGGCACGGUGGGCGGCAGCAGUGACUCCUGUCCCCUCUCUGUGCCCUCCCUUGCGCUCCACACAGGGGACCUCUCUCUGGCCUCACACAAUGCCGUGUCUUCUCUGCCCCUCUCUUUUGACAAAUCAGAAGGAAAAAAGCGUAAGAACUCGAGCACUAGUAGCAAAGCCUGUAAAAUCACUAAAAUGCCUGGUAUGAAUAGCGUUCACAAAAAGAACCCACCCGGCCUUCUUGCACCGGUGCCCGAGCCCGUUAACAGCACCUCCUCUCGGCAGGUUGGGAAAAAUAGCAGCCUAGCUUUGUCACAAUCCAGUCCUUCAAGCAUAUCCAGCCCAGGACACAGCCGACCGUCCUAGGAUCAUGGUGACUACAUAACAUAUCUGGAGUCCUUUAUAGCCAUCACCUCAUUUGCUUAUUACAGCUGUCCUUUGCCAUGUACUGGAGAAGAACACAAACAGAAUGGGCAGGAUAAGGACUCUUCCAUAACAAGACUAUGAAGCCACUUCCAAAACAAUUCCUGGUUGUGAUCCCACCCCAGGAGGCCAUGGCAGGAGGAGGAGGGAGGGGAGUGGGCCCUUGGGGAGCGUCUCUUCCCUAUGCCCUGCCUGUGGCUCUGGCCUUUCUUCUUCUUCUUUUUUUUUAAUGAUCAGUUUUUUCGUUGUUGUUGUUUUUUGAAGAAACAGAAAAAGGCAAAAGACCGUGGAUUUGAAACUUUCAGAAAACAAUACCAGUGUUUUCUUUCCAUUUUUCAUUUGCCACAUUUAUACAUUCUUCCAAAUUUGGGGUCACUUCCCUCACUCCUGAUGCUGCUACCCCACCAUAAUUUUGCUCCUGCCCUGAGAGCAGACGUCGCAGAAUGUCAGUUCUGGGUUGGCGCCGUCUGAAGCUCUUGAACUUUAGCACAUGCAGAGCUCUUCCUCCUUGUUCUCUCCCACCGCAUCCCUCCCAUCCCCAACCUGCCACUCACAGGGCAGGAGGGGCCCACUGGCCAUCAGGAGUGGCUGGCUCCCACCAGUACCCCCUGGACAGCAUGCUGGGGAAGGGGUUUUGUUAGGGAGGAUCCUAAGAGGAAAGAGCCAGAGGGUAUGUGGGUGCCCUCAACAGAUUUCUACAGCCCAGCAGGCAAAAUUGAGAACACUGGCUGCUUAAUGACCUGGUUUACCAAUACCAGUGUCUAGCUGUACAGCCCAGAAAAGACAUACAGGGGAGAAGCAGAGGGGACCUGGAAGAGUGGCAGAAAGCAGAAUCUGGCCAGUAGGAGACAAUGUCCCUUAAAAAAUGGUGGGGACCAAGUAACUGUGAUGGUCUGAGCUUGUUAGGAAUCCAUUCUGCAGAAUCCCUUCCAGGGCACGGUAUGCAGGUUCCCAAAGUUGAGUGAGUCAGAGAUGGAGGAAUCCCACGGGAAAGGCCACUGAACCAAAAAAAAGUCACUCCAUCAGGAAGCAUGCUGAUCUUCAGCUAAAGGUUCUCAAGUUGCCCUCUGGGGACAGGAAAGAUCCUCAAGGGGAAAGCCUCCAUGGAGGAUCAUGUAUCAAAUCCCUUGUGAAAAUAAAUACUAGCAUUGCCCACCCAUGCCCAGAGGGGAACUUGCAUUGCCCACCUACACCCAGAAGUGAGCGUGCAUUCUGUUCUCAGAUGCCCCAACUCAGACAGCCACCCCUGAGAAGGAAUGGUAAAGGACGUGCCAUCUCUUAGUGAAGAGCCAUUUGGAAGAGCUGAAGAGAGACAUUGGAGCAUCGCAGCUAUGAAGUUUUUCACACUGGAGUUUUGAAAGAAACAGCAAUACCAUAAACUCUAAUAAGGAAUCAUCAUCAGGAACGGAAUUCCUAAUGUGAAACAGGAGUUCUGUGCUAAUCUUAUAAGUUUGCAUACAACAGAGAUGCUAGGAGGUUCUCUUUCAUCCUGAAAUCAGAAAUGCUAGUCUCGCGGCUGGGUGCAUCCCCCAAUCCCAAGGUUUUCCUUUAUUUUCCCAUCCCCCAACCCAAAGAUCAGACUACUGUUAAGUUUCACCACACGAUUGGAAUCUGCAAAGGUGGGAGGCUAACGGAGUGAUCUGCAUUGAUGGAAUUGCACUGACAGUAUUUCUUAUAGGAUUACUAAAUUUUUUAAUAUAAAAAAAGAUUUUUUUAAAAAUCAGGAGUUGAUAUUAAGUACCAGGACAUUAGUUCAGAUGAUUUCAUUUUUAUUUCAACAGUGUUAAAAGUGCACUUAUAUGCUGGUUUAUUUGAGUCUUGGAAAAAAGAGACUGCAAAUUGAAGGGACGAUUGUUAACUUUUUCUUUUUAAAAAAAAAAGGUUAAGGCAGAUUUUAAGACUUAUAAAUGUUUAAGAAAUUAUAAACAAGGUUAGACCCUUUGAAAAAAAAAGUUUAGAAGAUAUUCUUAAAGUAAAUUUUUAUAGUGUUAAUUUUGUAAUAAUUUAUGUUUUACUAUAUUACAGAGCUAACUGACCAGAAUAGUUUCAGAAACAAUAUGAAACUUAGGAAAGUUUAAGCAAUGUUUAUAUUUUUAAAAUGUUCUUUGAAUUAUGUUUUUAUUGUAUGUUUCUUCAGACCGAAAAGUAUGUACAUAUCUUUGUUAUUUUUGCACAAUUUUUGUCUUGUUCGGUUUUAGAAGUCUGAUGUUUUUUAUAAUUUAUUUUGAGUUUUAAAACUUGCAGGAGUAGAAACAAAACCAAUCUCGGCAACAAAAUAACCCUCUGAUUUAUAAACUUUUACACUCGAAGAGGGAAAACAAAGGUUGAGAGAUGAAGUGGCUGCUUCUGAGAAAUAAUGUCUCAACAGGGACUGAAGGAGCGGGUUCAACAUUUUAGCUCCCUGCGUCUUGAAAUGGAAGCUGGAAUAAAGAGGUUCCUCACCAAAUGCUGCUUACUUUCUUGAAAAGACUGGCUCUGACCAAGGUGAGGACAUUUAUGGAUAACUGAGCAAAAAGGGAAAACCCACGGUAUUUCUUCUUUCGCCAUCAACCACAGGUUUACUUUGUAUUGAUGUAUUAAAAACUUGCAGCUUGAAAAGUGGAAUGCAAAUAAAGGUUUUCUUUGGGUUUAUUUUCAUGGAGUUCAACUGGACCAGCCUAUAAAGCAUCUUUUGGGUGGUAUCCUUUGGGUCCUUCUGUUCUGCACACCCCCCAACAGCCUUCUCUCCCAGCCCCUUGACUGCACACACCCCUAUUUGCCUGAAGACCUCCUGACUUGUCGCCAGCCAUAGAGGCUCGAAAGCUCUGGUUGUUAAACAUAACGCAAUGCAUAGACCUGUCAGCCAUAAAAAAAAAAAA
Molecule: non-coding RNA, 5831 nt
Organism: Ictidomys tridecemlineatus (thirteen-lined ground squirrel)
Lineage: Eukaryota; Metazoa; Chordata; Mammalia; Rodentia; Sciuridae
Source: RefSeq, a predicted model, not a curated record